AAAAAAAAAAAAAAAAGGAAACAGGAAGCUCCUCCCUCAGCCAGCCCAAACCUGUACUUUAGUUAUAAUCCGUUCCUCCUUAAGGAGAAAAGAUGGGGAGGGCAGGCUCUGGGGCAGCCCUUGCCCGAGCAAGCAGUUGGAACAAACCUUGGUGCAGGACCAAGAACUCUGAGCUUUGCAGAGAACCCAGUUUGGCUCAGACUGACUGUGUAGCUAAGAAUGACGUCUACCUCCUCCUGCCUCCACGUCCCCAGUGCUGGAGUUACAGGUAUGAGUGGCCCAGUUUGUACGCUGCUGAGGGACUGAAACUCGGCCUUGUGCUUGCUAAGUGGGUGCUCAGACUGGAGCGACAUCUACUGCCCUGUCCCUGCUCUUAUUAGAGGCCUGGCCUCCAGAGAGGACACACGACAAGAUCACAUGGAUUUCAUGUUUCUGAAACCUGGCUCCAGCACACCUGACUGUGUCACUUUACCUGAGAUUCUAACUCUGUAAAACAGGAUGACGUUCCCUGUUCAACAGAAUAACUGUAAGAAAUAAAUUAUAUAAUGCGUU
Molecule: long non-coding RNA, 552 nt
Organism: Mesocricetus auratus (golden hamster)
Lineage: Eukaryota; Metazoa; Chordata; Mammalia; Rodentia; Cricetidae
Exons: 2
Source: RefSeq, a predicted model, not a curated record